This is a long non-coding RNA of Beta vulgaris subsp. vulgaris (sugar beet), 263 nucleotides long. RefSeq lists it as uncharacterized. Lineage: Eukaryota; Viridiplantae; Streptophyta; Magnoliopsida; Caryophyllales; Amaranthaceae. The record is from RefSeq and is a predicted model, not a curated record. The transcript is spliced from 3 exons.
AUGUCGUUCAAGCUCCCGAAGACCCUAUUCUAGGAGUCACUGUUGCUUAUAACAAGGAUCCUAGUCAUGUAAAGUUGAAUUUAGGAGUUGGUGCUUAUCGAACUGAGGAAGGAAAACCUCUUGUGUUGAAUGUUGUUAGAAAAGCUGAGCAAAAAUUGGUUAAUGAUCCGUAAGUGUUGUUGUAAUUAGGUGAUUAUUUGGAUUUCGGUACCACAUUUGAUUGUUGUGUGUUUAUUUGUGAGAAUUGAUAACUUUGUGGUUCA